Molecule: ribosomal RNA, 408 nt
Filed under: uncultured bacterium
Lineage: Bacteria
Description: partial 16S ribosomal RNA
Rfam family: Bacterial small subunit ribosomal RNA
Source: RNAcentral
GACGAACGCUGGCGGCGUGCUUAACACAUGCAAGUCGAACGGAGUGGCGAACGGGUGAGUAACACGCGGGUGAACUGCCCCGCACUUCGGGAUAUGCCUGGGAAACUGGGUCUAAUACCGGUUAGUGUGGGAUGGGCCCGAGGCCUACCAGCUUGUUGGUGGGGUAAUAGCCUACCAAGGCGGCGACGGGUAGCCGGCCUGAGAGGGUGGACGGCCACAUAGGGACUGAGGCGCGACCCAGACGCAUACGGGGGGCAGCAGUGGAGAAUAUUGCACGAUAGGCGGAAGGCUGAAGCAGCGACGCCGCGUGGGAGAUGACGGCCUUCGGGUUGUAAACUCCUUUCACCAUCGACGCGGUAGAUGGAGAAGAAGCACCGGCUAACUACGUGCCAGCAGCCGCGGUAAUUC